Molecule: ribosomal RNA, 923 nt
Filed under: uncultured bacterium
Lineage: Bacteria
Description: bacterial SSU rRNA
Rfam family: Bacterial small subunit ribosomal RNA
Source: RNAcentral
CGUUGUUCGGAAUUACUGGGCGUAAAGGGCGCGCAGCGCGGCUUGGGAAGUCUUGGGUGAAAGCCCCCAGCUCAACUGGGGAAUGGCCUGAGAAACCACUAGGCUGGAGUGCUGGAGAGGGAAGCGGAAUUCCCGGUGGAGCGGUGAAAUGCGUAGAUAUCGGGAGGAACACCAGAGGCGAAGGCGGCUUCCUGGACAGACACUGACGCUGAGGCGCGAAAGCUAGGGGAGCAAACGGGAUUAGAUACCCCGGUAGUCCUAGCUGUAAACGAUGGGUACUAGAUGUGGGGGGUAAUUGAAAGUCCCUCCGUGUCGUCGAUAACUCAAUAAGUACCCCGCCUGGGGAGUACGGCCGCAAGUCUGAAACUCAAAGGAAUUGACGGGGGCCCGCACAACCGGGUGGAGGCAUGUGGUUUAAUUCGACGCAACGCAAAGAAACCUUUACCGGGGUUUGGAACUGGACCUAGACAAUUUGCAAGAGAUGUUAACUUUUCUCUUUUAGAGAACUGGGAACAAGAGGUGGCUGCAUGGCUGGUCGUCACUCUCGUGUCGGGGAGAUGUUGGGUUAAGUCCCCGCAACAGAGCCGCAACCCUUGCCCGGGAGUUGCCAUCAGGUUUAAGCUGGGCACCUCUACGGGGACUUGUCGGGCGAAAAGCCGAGAGGAAGGUGGGGAUGACGUCAAGUCCUCCAUGGCCCUUAUAUGCCCCCGGGUAACCACACGUUGCUACAAAUGGCGCGGGUACAAAAGGGCAGCCCAACUCGCAAGAAGUGAAGCGAAUCCCAAAAAGCCGUUCUCAGUUCGGAAUUGCAGUCUGCAACUCGACUGCAUGAAGUUGGAAUCGCUAGUAAUCGCGGAUCAGCAUGCCGCGGUGAAUACGUUCCCGGGCCCUUGUACCCCACCGCCCGUCACAUCCACGAGGUG